GGAUUAGAUACCCUAGUAUUUAAUAAGAUUAAUAGCUAGUAUAACUUUGAAAUUUAAUAAUUUUGGCGGUUAUUUAUUUAUUAGAGGAGCUUGUGUAAUUAUAAGAAUUUAUUCUUUAUAUUUAAUUUAAUUUUGUUUAUACAUCUCCGUUAUUAAAUUUAGUAGUUAUAAAAAAAUAUUUUUAAAUUUCAGGUCAAGAUGUAGCUUAUUUAAAAAUAAAGCAUUAGCUACAAUUAUAAAAUAGAUGGAUUUUAAAAUAAGUAUAGUAGGAAGAAAUUGAAUUUAAUUGUAAUAUUGACUAAAAAGUUAUUAUGAAAUUUAAUAUAUUUAAUGUACAUAUUGCCCGUCGCUUCUGUUUUUAUAGAAUAAGUCGUAACAAAGUA
RNAcentral lists this ribosomal RNA (383 nucleotides) under Gyndulus aff. roeweri MZSP 73028. RNAcentral's name for it is "partial small subunit ribosomal RNA". The record is from RNAcentral. Lineage: Eukaryota; Metazoa; Arthropoda; Arachnida; Opiliones; Gonyleptidae.